This 73-nucleotide transfer RNA is filed under the name Melanomma pulvis-pyrius CBS 109.77. It matches the Rfam family "tRNA". From Rfam's summary of the family: Transfer RNA (tRNA) molecules are approximately 80 nucleotides in length. Their secondary structure includes four short double-helical elements and three loops (D, anti-codon, and T loops). Lineage: Eukaryota; Fungi; Ascomycota; Dothideomycetes; Pleosporales; Melanommataceae. The record is from Rfam by way of RNAcentral.
UCUCUCUUAGUACAGUGGUAAGUAUGUCGGACUUGUCGCGCCGAUGACGCAAGUUCGAUUCUCGUAGAGAGAA